This 346-nucleotide ribosomal RNA is filed under the name uncultured bacterium. RNAcentral's name for it is "partial 16S ribosomal RNA". It matches the Rfam family "Bacterial small subunit ribosomal RNA", at positions 338 to 676 of the family's 1533-position model. The record is from RNAcentral.
CCUACGGGAGGCAGCAGUGGGGAAUAUUGCGCAAUGGGCGAAAGCCUGACGCAGCGACGCCGCGUGAGGGAUGAAGGUCUUCGGAUCGUAAACCUCUGUCAGCAGGGAAGAACGGUCACUGUGCUAAGCAGCAGUGAAUUGACGGUACCUGCAAAGGAAGCACCGGCUAACUCCGUGACAGCAGCCGCGGUAAUACGGAGGGUGCGAGCGUGAAUCGGAAUUACUGGGCGUAAAGCGCUCGUAGGCGGUAUGUCAAGUCAAGGGUGAAUUCCCCGCGCUCCACGUGGGAACUGCCUUUGUAACUGGCAAACUGGCGUGUGUGCGCGGCUAGUGUGAUUCCGGGUGU